AGUGAACGCUGGCGGUAGGCCUAACACAUGCAAGUCGAACGGCAGCACAGUAAGAGCUUGCUCUUACGGGUGGCGAGUGGCGGACGGGUGAGGAAUACAUCGGAAUCUACUUUUUCGGGGGGGAUAACGUAGAGAAACUUACGCUAAUACCGCAUACGACCUACGGGUGAAAGCAGGGGAUCUUCGGACCUUGCGCGACUGAAUGAGCCGAUGUCGGAUUAGCUAGUUGGCGGGGUAAAGGCCCACCAAGGCGACGAUCCGUAGCUGGUCUGAGAGGAUGAUCAGCCACACUGGAACUGAGACACGGUCCAGACUCCUACGGGAGGCAGCAGUGGGGAAUAUUGCACAAUGGGCGCAAGCCUGAUCCAGCCAUGCCGCGUGGGUGAAGAAGGCCUUCGGGUUGUAAAGCCCUUUUGUUGGGAAAGAAAAGCAGCAGGUUAAUCCACCGCCGUUCUGACGGUACCCAAAGAAUAAGCACCGGCUAACUUCGUG
RNAcentral lists this ribosomal RNA (492 nucleotides) under uncultured bacterium. Its description in RNAcentral is "partial 16S ribosomal RNA". It matches the Rfam family "Bacterial small subunit ribosomal RNA", at positions 29 to 507 of the family's 1533-position model. The record is from RNAcentral.